AAACAGACAGAGAAAGAGGAGGAGGAAACAAACUUCAAGAAAGGCGGAGACUUUCUUUUCGAAACGAGUAUGUAGAAGUUUGGAGACUAUUCCACAGUCGAUCAGUUCUUGCCACCCACCAAGCAAGUGUGCUGUGGAUUAUUGGGAUAUGGAGCAGGAUUUGACACAGAAAAGCCCCACUGAAUUCUCCACCCCUCGUAUUAUGAAAGAAAAAACACAUGACAUGAUACUUCAAGAUAAUGAAACCAGAACUGCUGCCCAAACUUGCCUAAGAUGUAUGGCUGGAGAACCUGGGCACUUUGGCCAUAUUAUGAGUUUAUAGGAUAUCAAAGGAUAUGCAUUGAUACUCCAGAACAAAAAAAAGUUUCAAGCUUCUCUUGAGUUCCUAGAUUUUUCUACACCCCUCUGAAAUUGUAUAUAUGUAAUGUACAUAAGAUCUCUUGUGGGUUUUUUUAAUGUUCUCACUAGAACCUCAUUUUGUUUACCUUUUAUAUAAUUUAAAAUAUGUUUUCAAAGCACUGCUCAGCUUAGCGAUUCUCCCACUUUCAACAUGUGUACAAGAGAUAUAUAUUCAUGAAUGUGGGUUAACUGCAGGCAGACAAAAAAGUGGAGACUGGUAUUUUUACUUCUUGUGCAUGUAUGUUGUGAAUAUGUAAAAUUACAUAAUUAUUGAAAUUCAUGGAGAUGGUGACAGUGUGAAACAAAUGUGGUGAAUGUCCCAAAACUGAACAGUUUUCUCCACUAUUAAAAUACCCAGCUGGCUGGGUAGCUCAGUGGGUUGAAGUUUAGACUGCAGAGCCAAUGCUUGUGAAUUCAAUUCUUGACUGUGCCUUGUAGGAUAUACAGAGUGCCCCCCCCCCCGUAGAAGGGAAUGUACCCCUUCUGAGUACUCCAUAGAAAGAAAACCAGAAUUGACUUUACUACACAUAUUUGUUAACUACUAAGAUACACACACUUAGAGUUGCAUUUAGUUGAUAGUAUUCAUCAGUAUAUAUCUGCAUCUUCAGUAAUGCUGCAUGUGAACCAUGUAUUUUGAAAAUACCAUAAAAUGUUCACAGUACUUCUGAAGUUAUUUCAAAGCACAUAAUCACAUUUUUCUCUCUUCUUUAAGGCAAAUUUGUAGAAUGCACUGCCUCCUAGGAAGCACUGAACUGUAAAGGUAUUUCCCUUUCAGCUGGUGAAAUACAUGAUGUAAAGUCCCUUUGCAGCGAUUGAGACUCAAAAUGUACCUUUGUCACUGCUUUGGCAUAUUCUUGUUAGGAAUUUGACAGACCAUCUCUGUGGCUUGAAAUAGAUCCUUUUUCCCUUCUUUAUUUUCUAAAUAAUCUUGAAAGCUUGAGUGCCACUUGGUCUGCCCACCACCAUGUCC
Non-coding RNA from Pogona vitticeps (central bearded dragon), 1369 nucleotides. The record is from RefSeq and is a predicted model, not a curated record. NCBI's taxonomy places the organism in Eukaryota, Metazoa, Chordata, Lepidosauria, Squamata, Agamidae.